GCUGGGCUCCUUGCGACUUUCUCCCCUCUUAGCCACUAUCCAAAGAGGCUCGGGGCACACGGAGUCCACAGCCUGCGUCUGGGCCCCACCUGCCGCACCCCGUGACCUUGACGUGCAGUUAGACCUCCUAAGCCCCGUCUCCCUCGGUUGGGAAGGGAGGUGGGUGGGUGGGUGAAGUAAUGACACCCGAGGAAGCUGAUGUGCUGACCCCUGGCCCUUUGUCGAACUGCAGACCUGUGGUUCAAUCUCGGAGCUCCUUGUAGGUGGGGAAACUGAGGCACAAGAAGAUUUUUUUUUUUUUUUUUUUGUUUGUUUUUCUUUUUCUCUUUUAGGAGCCCGUGCUGACGGGUGGCAUGGCGGAGGGUGAGCCCAGCUCUGUCACGAAGGCCGGUGCCCUCGGCCUGCCCUGUGGGUCUUAGUGCCAGGCCUGGAGGCACCCUUGGUUUCUAUAUGACAAGCGUUCACGUGCAGCUUGCUCAACGCACAGGCGCGUGGGCUCUGGGCCCCCCCGCUCUCACGGGUGCCCCGUUUCAAACCAUGAAGGUUGCUCGGGAAGGGGACGUCAAGGUCAAGAUGGGCACUUGGAGGCUUUGGAUGCCGAAGCAGUUUUACUUGGACCGAGUCAGCUGAAGGAGCACGUGGGCCUAAAAUUAGGCAAGUGUGUGUGUGCUGAGAGCGAGUUCACACGCUCACAACUCCUGUGGGCAGAUUUGCGUUGCCUUCCUCUGUCUGUUAAUGGUACAAUCUGUUCAGACCUUUGGAACAUUCCUCAGCUUUUAUUUAAUGUAGGAAGAAUCAUUUUGGGAAUUAGCAUAUAAAUUGUCAAAGGUCAGCA
Long non-coding RNA from Herpailurus yagouaroundi (jaguarundi), 835 nucleotides. RefSeq lists it as uncharacterized. Lineage: Eukaryota; Metazoa; Chordata; Mammalia; Carnivora; Felidae. The record is from RefSeq and is a predicted model, not a curated record. The transcript is spliced from 2 exons.